This 28-nucleotide non-coding RNA is filed under the name Bombyx mori (domestic silkworm). Lineage: Eukaryota; Metazoa; Arthropoda; Insecta; Lepidoptera; Bombycidae. The record is from RNAcentral.
UGAAACUCAGCAAACCAGCGAUAAAUUG